AUGGACCAAUCCAUCCCUUUUUCCCGUGCAUAUGCAUCGGACUCCGAUGACGAUGGGCCCGAUGAAGAAGUUGAUGAGGAGGGGUUCACGCAGAAGGAGGGCCAAGCAUUUAAGAAGGUAUUCGGGCGGGAUCACAAGACACCAAUGUUCAAGGAUCUUAGUCUCGCGGAUGAAGCCAUUGCAGAUGGUGGCAAAUGUAUAUCUCUUGGAGCUAGGCCAAGUUCUCACCGUGAUUUGGAAGACGGCAAGAACAGGAUAUAUCCCGGUUGUGAGUUUGAAUCCUUCUUGGAAUUGAAGAUGUGGCUCGACAACUACUCGGUUACGCAUUAUCGUCCACAUAGAGUGGCCAACUCGGAUGUCAAUGUGCGUUACACGGUUAAAUGUGAAGUGCCAAGAUGUCCAUGGAUUGUGCGUGCAAGGCCAUGGAAAGGAGGUCCCACUUGGCGCAUAGUGACUUGUGUACCAAGUCACAUGUGUUGA
RNAcentral lists this ribosomal RNA (480 nucleotides) under Triticum aestivum (bread wheat). RNAcentral's name for it is "partial small subunit ribosomal RNA". The record is from RNAcentral. Lineage: Eukaryota; Viridiplantae; Streptophyta; Magnoliopsida; Poales; Poaceae.